UACAGAGGUCCCAAGCGUUGUUCGGAUUCACUGGGCGUAAAGGGCGCGUAGGCGGUCGGGUAAGUCUGACGUGAAAUCCCUUGGCUCAACCAAGGAACUGCGUCUUAAACUGCCCGGCUUGAGUCCGGGAGAGGGUAGUGGAAUUCCCAGUGUAGCGGUGAAAUGCGUAGAUAUUGGGAGGAACACCGGUGGCGAAGGCGGCUACCUGGACCGGUACUGACGCUGAGGCGCGAAAGCUAGGGUAGCAAACAGG
Molecule: ribosomal RNA, 253 nt
Filed under: uncultured bacterium
Lineage: Bacteria
Description: partial 16S ribosomal RNA
Rfam family: Bacterial small subunit ribosomal RNA
Source: RNAcentral